UUUCCGUAGGUGAACCUGCGGAAGGAUCAUUACCGAGUGAGGGUCUCGCAGGCCCGACCUCCCACCCUGUGGUUUUGUUGCAUUGUUGAUUUGUGGGUUCCGCGUCGUUGAGGGUCCCCCGGAGGGUCACCGCUUUGGGCGGAUAACCGCAAGUAGCCCCCUUUAAUAAUAAGUAAAACUGUCGUCUUAAUCAUUAUAACUUAAAAAAAAGUUUCAACAAGGGAUCUCUUGGUUGUGGAAUGGAGGAAGAACGAAGAGAAUAGGAAUGACACACAUCUA
This 279-nucleotide unclassified non-coding RNA is filed under the name plant metagenome. Its description in RNAcentral is "partial contains small subunit ribosomal RNA, internal transcribed spacer 1, and 5.8S ribosomal RNA". The record is from RNAcentral.